AGCUUUGCGCAGUGGCAGUAUCGUAGCCAAUGAGGUUUAUCCGAGGCGCGAUUAUUGCUAAUUGGAAAUAAACAUAUAUCAAAGUUACUCAUCUAUACUAAUGCUGCAGUCAAAAUGAUUGAAACUUUUCCAAGGGA
Small nuclear RNA from Mustela erminea (ermine), 137 nucleotides. RefSeq annotates it as U4 spliceosomal RNA. The transcript has a single exon. The record is from RefSeq and is a predicted model, not a curated record. Lineage: Eukaryota; Metazoa; Chordata; Mammalia; Carnivora; Mustelidae.